AGCGAACGCUGGCGGCAGGCCUAACACAUGCAAGUCGAACGGAUCCUUCGGGAUUAGUGGCGGACGGGUGAGUAACACGUGGGAACGUGCCCUUUGGUUCGGAACAACUCAGGGGAAACUUGAGCUAAUACCGGAUGUGCCCUUCGGGGAAAGAUUUAUCGCCAUUGGAGCGGCCCGCGUCUGAUUAGCUAGUUGGUGAGGUAAAGGCUCACCAAGGCGACGAUCAGUAGCUGGUCUGAGAGGAUGAUCAGCCACAUUGGGACUGAGACACGGCCCAAACUCCUACGGGAGGCAGCAGUGGGGAAUCUCGCGCAAUGGGCAAAGCCUGACGCAGCCAUGCCGCGUGAAUGAUGAAGGUCUUAGGAUUGUAAAAUCUUUCACCGGGGACGAUAAUGACGGUACCCGGAGAAGAAGCCCCGGCU
RNAcentral lists this ribosomal RNA (422 nucleotides) under uncultured bacterium. RNAcentral's name for it is "bacterial SSU rRNA". It matches the Rfam family "Bacterial small subunit ribosomal RNA", at positions 29 to 498 of the family's 1533-position model. The record is from RNAcentral.